This 1376-nucleotide long non-coding RNA is filed under the name Calidris pugnax (ruff). RNAcentral's name for it is "lncRNA (ENSCPUG00000008376.1)". Lineage: Eukaryota; Metazoa; Chordata; Aves; Charadriiformes; Scolopacidae. The record is from RNAcentral.
CUCCCCCGCCUCGGGGACCCCCCUGUCACCCCCUGUGUCACCCCGUGUCCCCCCCAGGCGCUGCUGCGGAGGAACAAGCGGCCCUGGGAGCCCCGGGAGGAGGACGAGGAGUUCGCGGCCGAGGAGGAGGAAGGUGAGGACGAGGAGGAGACCAUCGCGGCGCAGGAGCGGCUGGAGGGGGACGUGGACCACAAGCAGGAGCUGGACGACCUGGCGCGGGAGGGUGAGGGGCGUGUCGGGGCGUGUUACGGCGUGUGGGGGCGUGUUGGGGUGUGUUAUGGCGUGUGGGGGCAUGUUACGGCGUGCUGGGGCGUGUUACGGCAUGUUGCAGCGUGUUGAGCCCUGUUGCAAGUUGUGGCGUGUUGAUGCGUGUUGAAGUGUGUUGAGGCGUGUUAUACGUUGAUGCGUGUUUAAGUGUGAUGUAACAUGUUCUGUGUUACAGCGUGGUACAGCGUGCUGGGGCAUGUUACGGCGUGUUGUGGCGUGUUACGGCAUGUUGCAGCGUGUUGAGCCCUGUUGCAGCACGUAGCGGGUUGAGCCCUGUUGCAAGUUGUGGCGUGUUGAUGCGUGUUGAAGUGUGUUGAGGUGUGUUACACAUUGAUGCGUGUUUAAGUGUGAUGUACUGUGUUCUGUGUUACGGCGUGUUGGGGCGUGUUGAGCCAUGUUGCAGCACGUAGUGUGUUGAGCCCUGUUGCAAGUUGUGGCGUGUUGAUGCGUGUUUAAGUGUGUUGAGGUGUGUUACACGUUGAUGCGUGUUUAAGUGUGAUGUAGCAUGUUCUGUGUUGAGCCAUGUUGCAGCAUGUAGCGUGUUGAGCCCUGUUGCAAGUUGUGGCGUGUUGAUGCGUGUUGAAAUGUGUUGAGGCGUGUUACACAUUGGUGCGUGUUUAAGUGUGAUGUAGCAUGUUCUGUGUUAUGGCGUGUUGUGGCGUGUUACAGCAUGUUGCAGCAUGUUGAGCCAUGUUGCAGCACGUAGCGUGUUGAGCCCUGUUGCAAGUUGGGGCGUGUUGAUGCGUGUUGAAGUGUGUUGAGGCGUGUUACACGUUGAUGCGUGUUUAAGUGUGAUGUAACAUGUUCUGUGUUACGGCGUGCUGGGGCGUGUUGAGCCAUGUUGCAGCGUGUUGAGCCAUGUUGCAGCGUGUUGAGCCCUGUUGCAGCACGUAGCGGGUUGAGCCCUGUUGCAAGUUGUGGCGUGUUGAUGCGUGUUGAAGUGUGUUGAGGUGUGUUACACGUUGAUGCGUGUUUAAGUGUGAUGUAGCGUGUUCUGUGUUACGGCAUGUUGCAGCGUGUUGAGCCAUGUUGCAGCACGUAGUGUGUUGAGCCCUGUUGCAAGUUGUGGCGUGUUGAUGCGUGUUUAAGUGUGUUGAGGUGUGUUACAC